Molecule: non-coding RNA, 27 nt
Filed under: Rattus norvegicus (Norway rat)
Lineage: Eukaryota; Metazoa; Chordata; Mammalia; Rodentia; Muridae
Source: RNAcentral
UAGUGAGGAAAUAAUGGACCCAACAAA